GACAGAGGGGGCAAGCGUUGCUCGGAAUUACUGGGCGUAAAGGGCGCGUAGGCGGGCUGGCAAGUCAGUCGUGAAAUCUCUCGGCUCAACCGAGAAACGUCGGCUGAUACUGCCGUUCUUGAGGGAUGCAGAGGAGACUGGAAUUCCCGGUGUAGCGGUGAAAUGUGUAGAGAUCGGGAGGAACACCGGUGGCGAAGGCGGGUCUCUGGGCAUUUCCUGACGCUGAGGCGCGAAAGCGUGGGGAGCAAACGGG
RNAcentral lists this ribosomal RNA (253 nucleotides) under uncultured bacterium. RNAcentral's name for it is "partial 16S ribosomal RNA". It matches the Rfam family "Bacterial small subunit ribosomal RNA", at positions 524 to 776 of the family's 1533-position model. The record is from RNAcentral.